GAUCUGGGCGACGCUCUACACCCUUUGUGACAUACCUAUAACUGUUGCUUCGGCGGGCAGGGUCUCCGUGACCCUCCCGGCCUCCCGCCCCCGGGCGGGUCGGCGCCCGCCGGAGGAUAACCAAACUCUGAUUUAACGACGUUUCUUCUGAGUGGUACAAGCAAAUAAUCAAAACUUUUAACAACGGAUCUCUUGGUUCUGGCAUCGAUGAAGAACGCAGCGAAAUGCGAUAAGUAAUGUGAAUUGCAGAAUUCAGUGAAUCAUCGAAUCUUUGAACGCACAUUGCGCCCGCCAGCAUUCUGGCGGGCAUGCCUGUUCGAGCGUCAUUUCAACCCUCAAGCUCUGCUUGGUGUUGGGGCCCUACAGCUGAUGUAGGCCCUCAAAGGUAGUGGCGGACCCUCCCGGAGCCUCCUUUGCGUAGUAACUUUACGUCUCGCACUGGGAUCCGGAGGGACUCUUGCCGUAAAACCCCCAAUUUUCCAAAGGUUGACCUCGGAUCAGGUAGGAAUACCCGCUGAACUUAAGCAUAUCAAA
RNAcentral lists this ribosomal RNA (534 nucleotides) under Colletotrichum gloeosporioides. RNAcentral's name for it is "eukaryotic LSU rRNA". The stretch from base 173 to 326 matches the Rfam family "5.8S ribosomal RNA". The record is from RNAcentral. Lineage: Eukaryota; Fungi; Ascomycota; Sordariomycetes; Glomerellales; Glomerellaceae.